Molecule: long non-coding RNA, 345 nt
Filed under: Equus caballus (horse)
Lineage: Eukaryota; Metazoa; Chordata; Mammalia; Perissodactyla; Equidae
Description: lncRNA (ENSECAG00000057572.1)
Source: RNAcentral
GAAUGUUCUAAGGCAAAUAUUUUUUUGAAAAUCCUGGCUUAAGCUUUUCAAAUCCACCAUCUACUAAUUACAUCUACAGUUUCUUAGUCCUGCGAGCUUUCGAAACAUCAGCUAAUGGCCAGUUUUCUCAAAGUGUGAACUUUUUACCAUCUUAUCAGAAUCAUCUGAGCGUGUUUGUUAAAAAUGCAAAUUCCUGACCCACACGCCAAGUCUGCUGAAUUGGGAUCACCGGAAACUCUAAUGGGAAGUGGGACCUUGAGAGAGAAUUUUGAGUGUCCCAUGCUGGAUUCCUGUCUACACCCAAGGCCAAGAACUCAGGACUCAAGAAAUUUCUUUCAUCUGGCC